GUGGGACUGGCUGUUUCAUAGCUACUGAGGUGUGUGUCUGUGGGACUGGCUGUUUCAUAGCUACUGAGGUGUGUGUCUGUGGGACUGGCUGUUUCAUAGCUACUGAGGUGUGUGUCUGUGGGACUGGCUGUUUCAUAGCUACUGAGGUGUGUGUCUGUGGGACUGGCUGUUUCAUAGCUACUGAGGUGUGUGUCUGUGGGACUGGCUGUUUCAUAGCUACUGAGGUGUGUGUCUGUGGGACUGGCUGUUUCAUAGCUACUGAGGUGUGUGUCUGUGGGACUGGCUGUUUCAUAGCUACUGAGGUGUGUGUCUGUGGGACUGGCUGUUUCAUAGCUACUGAGGUGUGUGUCUGUGGGACUGGCCGUUUCAUAGCUACUGAGGUGGGACUGGCCGUUUCAUAGCUACUGAGGUGGGACUGGCCGUUUCAUAGCUACUGAGGUGGGACUGGCCGUUUCAUAGCUACUGAGGUGGGACUGGCCGUUUCAUAGCUACUGAGGUGGGACUGGCCGUUUCAUAGCUACUGAGGUGGGACUGGCCGUUUCAUAGCUACUGAGGUGGGACUGGCCGUUUCAUAGCUACUGAGGUGGGACUGGCCGUUUCAUAGCUACUGAGGUGGGACUGGCCGUUUCAUAGCUACUGAGGUGGGACUGGCCGUUUCAUAGCUACUGAGGUGGGACUGGCCGUUUCAUAGCUACUGAGGUGGGACUGGCCGUUUCAUAGCUACUGAGGUGGGACUGGCCGUUUCAUAGCUACUGAGGUGGGACUGGCCGUUUCAUAGCUACUGAGGUGGGACUGGCCGUUUCAUAGCUACUGAGGUGGGACUGGCCGUUUCAUAGCUACUGAGGUGGGACUGGCCGUUUCAUAGCUACUGAGGUGGGACUGGCCGUUUCAUAGCUACUGAGGUGGGACUGGCCGUUUCAUAGCUACUGAGGUGGGACUGGCCGUUUCAUAGCUACUGAGGUGGGACUGGCCGUUUCAUAGCUACUGAGGUGGGACUGGCCGUUUCAUAGCUACUGAGGUGGGACUGGCCGUUUCAUAGCUACUGAGGUGGGACUGGCCGUUUCAUAGCUACUGAGGUGGGACUGGCCGUUUCAUAGCUACUGAGGUGGGACUGGCCGUUUCAUAGCUACUGAGGUGGGACUGGCCGUUUCAUAGCUACUGAGGUGGGACU
Long non-coding RNA from Oncorhynchus keta (chum salmon), 1171 nucleotides. RefSeq lists it as uncharacterized. Lineage: Eukaryota; Metazoa; Chordata; Actinopteri; Salmoniformes; Salmonidae. The record is from RefSeq and is a predicted model, not a curated record. The transcript is spliced from 5 exons.